Molecule: long non-coding RNA, 1150 nt
Filed under: Marmota monax (woodchuck)
Lineage: Eukaryota; Metazoa; Chordata; Mammalia; Rodentia; Sciuridae
Source: RNAcentral
UAAAUAUGUAGAACACAAGCAGUUUCUGAAUUUAGCUCCUGGUGUUUUGUCUUGGUUCCAAAUACAGUAAUGUUUAUAUUUUCUAUUAGUUUGUAAAUAUGGACUCUGGGUGGUGCAUUUGUGUCUUCAUGCCAUGGGAUAUCCCCCUCUCCCCAACCCCACCUCCUCUCUAUUUUGUUUUUCUUUCUUUUUUGCAAAGGUGACUUUCUGGCAACAUCUCUGUCUUUGUUUGGUGGUGGGCUUCUUGGGCUCCUGGACCUCAACUUGCCCCCAAAUUUUGUGUGGGCAGUGAAGGCUUCAGCAUCAUGAAGGACACUUUCUUUCUACAGCAAAGGACUCAAAAAACAGAUAAAACAAUCUAGUCUCCCAUUUUAUAUUCUAGUCAAACAACACACAUGCCAAGCAUAUAAAGAUAAGGGGGUGGAAAAUAUCUGAAUGAGAAAGGCUCUAAAGGAAGUCACUUAGAAGCAAGUUUAAUGUGAAAUGUUUUACAAAGACACUUAAAAUGAACUUUAUGUUAAGAAAACCACUGUGAAACUAAAUUGUACUGUUAUUGUUGGCUUACCUGUGUGUUCAGCAAUCACAGCCCAAAAUUAUGUUGUAACUUAAAGAAAAUGGAAAAUUCUGCUCUAAUGAAUGUAACAAUGGCUUGCUGUGAAGUUUACAUUGUUGUACAGAACAUGUUUCACAUGUACGUAAAUUGGUGGUGGUAUUAGAAAUACAAAUGCUAUUUAAUUUUAAUGAAUUCCCUUUAUUCAUUUCUGGAAUUACAGGAUGCAGAUUAACUGAUAAAUCUUACUAGACCAAUUUCUUUUUCACUUUAAUGUUAAUAAUAGAGCUGUGGGAUAUAUGUGUGUGUGAGCAUGUGAUUAUGUGUUGUAUUUUGAAACAAUUGAUUUUUCUUUGGUAAAAUUCUACAGUUCUUAUACCUUCUGUUUAGGAAAUUCUUCCUGCUUGGCAAUAUAGGCUUUAAAAUACAUUUUUAGAACAUUGGUACAAUUCAUUUAUUGGAAAAUUAAUAUAUUGUGGGCUUUUUUUGGUAUUAAUUCUGUGCAAUAACUAAAAGGGCACCUCAUUAGAUAUGGAGGUUAAAGAUGCAUUCAUUGAGUGAUUUCAACUUCUUCAUAUCUGUGCUGUGCACAGCGACAUG